AGCAGCCGCGGUAAUUCCAGCUCCAAUAGCGUAUAUUAAAGUUGUUGCAGUUAAAAAGCUCGUAGUUGAAUUUUGGGAUCAAGGUGUCGGUCAUGCCUUUGGUAUGUACUGACAUCAUUGAUUUCUCCCUUCUGGCGAACUAUGAUGUCAUUAAUUUGGUGUCAUGGGGAAUCAGGACUGUUACUUUGAAGAAAUUAGAAUGUUUAAAGCAGGCAUACGCUUGAAUACAUUAGCAUGGAAUAAUGAAAUAGGACGUUUGAUCCUAUUUUGUUGGUUUCUAGGAUCUAUGUAAUGAUUAAUAGGGAUAGUUGGG
RNAcentral lists this ribosomal RNA (313 nucleotides) under uncultured Glomus. RNAcentral describes it as "SSU rRNA". It matches the Rfam family "Eukaryotic small subunit ribosomal RNA", at positions 569 to 886 of the family's 1831-position model. Lineage: Eukaryota; Fungi; Glomeromycota; Glomeromycetes; Glomerales; Glomeraceae. The record is from RNAcentral.